RNAcentral lists this ribosomal RNA (253 nucleotides) under uncultured bacterium. RNAcentral's name for it is "partial 16S ribosomal RNA". It matches the Rfam family "Bacterial small subunit ribosomal RNA", at positions 524 to 776 of the family's 1533-position model. The record is from RNAcentral.
UACGGAGGGUGCAAGCGUUAUCCGGAUUCACUGGGUUUAAAGGGUGCGUAGGCGGGUAUAUAAGUCAGUGGUGAAAUCCUAUCGCUUAACGAUAGACGUGCCAUUGAUACUGUAGGACUUGAGUACAGAUGCCGUUGGCGGAAUGUGUCAUGUAGCGGUGAAAUGCAUAGAUAUGACACAGAACACCGAUUGCGAAGGCAGCUGACGAAACUGUAACUGACGCUGAGGCUCGAAAGCGUGGGGAUCAAACAGG